GGAACUGUAUUUCAAAUGUCAGCAGGGAAGGCAUGGAGAUUUUGGAAAAUCUUAGAAAGAUAUCAUCCUACAAGCAUGACUGAAAGAAAGCCUCCAGCCUUUUCAAUCCUCUUGACAUCUGUGACAUCUGUUUCACACCCUUUCAUUAAGUGAUGCAGAAUGGGAGAUAAAACAGAAGAAUCUAUCAGAGGUCAGAAGUGGAACAAGAAGGAAAGGCAAUUGGUGGGGAGGAGCAAGGAUUCUCUAGAGUUUCUCAUUCAGGAAGACAUAUGACUAUUAAUGUCAGAUGUGAAUGCCUACUGUAUGAAGAUUUUGAAGCUAUAUGCAGUUGGAGCGGGUUGCUGUCCUUGAAACAGAAACCCACUUAAAAAUGAAAAGUUCAACACACCUAAUGGUUUGCUCCUCCUUCACUCCAAGGUUUAAGCCAUAGGACUGCCCUUUAUGUAAAUCAACAAAGAAAAUUAUAGCUCAUAAGAGACGUGCAAAGAUCUUGAUAUUGUAUUACACUCUCAGUUUCAAACCCAGGCCGAGUCUUCUCAAGUCAAAAGGUAUCUAGAAUAAGCUUUCCUGAAAAUAUUUGAGAUAGUAAGAAAUUCACAAUUUCCUUGUGUUCUUCUGAUAGUAAUAGCAAUAGUGAAAACCAAUAAUCCUCACAGAUACUGUAUAUUCUAAAUAGUCUGUCUAAAUUGAAAUAGAUUGCCUCAAAGUGUGAGAUUUUAGAUAUUUGAGGUUAUACAUUCAUUAAAAUGCUUCUCAUUGACCAUUUU
This is a non-coding RNA of Zonotrichia albicollis (white-throated sparrow), 767 nucleotides long. NCBI's taxonomy places the organism in Eukaryota, Metazoa, Chordata, Aves, Passeriformes, Passerellidae. The record is from RefSeq and is a predicted model, not a curated record.